This 458-nucleotide unclassified non-coding RNA is filed under the name Colea comorensis. RNAcentral describes it as "Ophiocolea comorensis partial external transcribed spacer". The record is from RNAcentral. Lineage: Eukaryota; Viridiplantae; Streptophyta; Magnoliopsida; Lamiales; Bignoniaceae.
GCUUGGCAUGUCUGGGSRSGUUGGGAUCCCUGCUUGGGCAGCGACGACGUGCCUUGCAUGCCUCUUCAGUCGGUCGCCCAAGUGCGUGCUAGCCUUGGUCGUUCCGUUGGUUUCCUGUGCUAUAUACCUACCACGAAGGUAUCGAAUCGGCUAAAAAUGUCCCGUUUCAGCCUUGUGCUGCGCCCCUUGGGGCUGCGGUGCGGGGUGGACCUCAAAGCACCUGCCGUGUUCCACUGCUCGUACGUCUCGACACGUGCUCGAGUUUUUGGCCCAUGGUUGCGUGCUCGAUCUCUCGGAUGCGGAAAAUUGAGUGGGCACGAGGCCUYCGGUCCCUAUUUGCCCCGAAACAAAGCGUUUCACGCUUCGUGCGAACGACGAUCGUAGCCGUUUUGAUUCAAGUCCGAGCGGCUUGGGUCAUGCGGUGUCGGCGUCGGUGAGGAAUKCYMCCUGGUUGAUCU